AUUGAACGCUGGCGGCAGGCCUAACACAUGCAAGUCGAGCGGAGCGGCGGACGGGUGAGUAUUGCCUAGGACUCUGCCUGGGAGUGGGGGAUAACGUUCGGAAACGGGCGCUAAUACCGCAUCCUAUCAGAUGAGCCUAGGUCGAAUUAGCUAGUGGGUGGGGUAAAGGCCUACCAAGGCGACGCUCCGUAACUGGUCUGAGAGGAUGAUCAGUCACACUGGAACUGAGACGCGGUCCAGAAUCCUACGGGAGGCAGCAGUGGGGAAUAUUGGACAAUGGGCGAAAUCCUGAUCCAGCCAUGCCGCGUGUGUGAAGAAGGUCUUCGGAUUGUAAAGCACUUUAAGUUGGGAGGCGUUACCAACAGAAUAAGCGCCGGCUAACUUCGUGCCAGCCGCCGCGGUAAUAC
RNAcentral lists this ribosomal RNA (407 nucleotides) under uncultured bacterium. RNAcentral's name for it is "partial 16S ribosomal RNA". It matches the Rfam family "Bacterial small subunit ribosomal RNA", at positions 30 to 526 of the family's 1533-position model. The record is from RNAcentral.